AUGAACGCUGGCGGCGUGCCUAAUACAUGCAAGUCGAGCGAACAGACGAGGAGCUUGCUCCUCUGACGUUAGCGGCGGACGGGUGAGUAACACGUGGAUAACCUACCUAUAAGACUGGGAUAACUUCGGGAAACCGGAGCUAAUACCGGAUAAUAUAUUGAACCGCAUGGUUCCAUAGUGAAAGACGGUUUUGCUGUCACUUAUAGAUGGAUCCGCGCCGCAUUAGCUAGUUGGUAAGGUAACGGCUUACCAAGGCAACGAUGCGUAGCCGACCUGAGAGGGUGAUCGGCCACACUGGAACUGAGACACGGUCCAGACUCCUACGGGAGGCAGCAGUAGGGAAUCUUCCGCAAAGGGCGAAAGCCUGACGGAGCAACGCCGCGUGAGUGAUGAAGGUCUUCGGAUCGUAAAACUCUGUUAUUAGGGAAGAACAAAUGUGUAAGUAACUAUGCACGUCUUGACGGUACCUAAUCAGAAAGCCACGGCUAACUACGUG
This 496-nucleotide ribosomal RNA is filed under the name uncultured bacterium. Its description in RNAcentral is "partial 16S ribosomal RNA". It matches the Rfam family "Bacterial small subunit ribosomal RNA", at positions 29 to 507 of the family's 1533-position model. The record is from RNAcentral.